RNAcentral lists this small nucleolar RNA (99 nucleotides) under Ochotona princeps (American pika). Its description in RNAcentral is "Small nucleolar RNA SNORA32 (ENSOPRG00000020116.1)". Lineage: Eukaryota; Metazoa; Chordata; Mammalia; Lagomorpha; Ochotonidae. The record is from RNAcentral.
ACGUCAUUAUCAAGGCAUUUUGAAUGCAGUCUCUUAUUUGCUGUGGACCUAACCAUAAAAAAACUGGGCUUUCUCUCUGUUACCCUAUUGGGAACGCUU